AGCGAACGCUGGCGGCAGGCCUAACACAUGCAAGUCGAACGAACCUUUCGGGGUUAGUGGCGCAUUGGUGAGUAACGCGUGACAGCGUGCUUUUAUGUUCGGAAUUACCUAGGGAAACUUGUGAACAUCUCGAAUGUGUCCUUCGGGGGAAAGAUUUAGCGCCUCUAGAACGGCCCGCAUCUGGUUAGCUAGUUGGUCGAGGUUAUGCCUCACCAAGGAGACGAUCGGUAGAUGGUCUGUGAGGCUGGUCAGCCACAUUGGGACUGAGACACAGCCCGAACUCCUACGGGAGGCAGCAGUGGCGAAUCUAGCGCAAUGGGCGAAAGGCUGACGCAGCCAUGCCGCGUGAAUGAUGAAGGUCUGAGGAUUGGAAGAUUCUUUCACCGGGGUCGAUAUUGACGGUACCCGGAGAAGAAGCCCCGGCUAACUUCGUG
RNAcentral lists this ribosomal RNA (434 nucleotides) under uncultured bacterium. Its description in RNAcentral is "partial 16S ribosomal RNA". It matches the Rfam family "Bacterial small subunit ribosomal RNA", at positions 29 to 507 of the family's 1533-position model. The record is from RNAcentral.